This 267-nucleotide ribosomal RNA is filed under the name Bacillus toyonensis. RNAcentral describes it as "partial 23S ribosomal RNA". It matches the Rfam family "Bacterial large subunit ribosomal RNA", at positions 1 to 266 of the family's 2925-position model. Lineage: Bacteria; Bacillati; Bacillota; Bacilli; Caryophanales; Bacillaceae. The record is from RNAcentral.
GGUUAAGUUAGAAAGGGCGCACGGUGGAUGCCUUGACACUAGGAGUCGAUGAAGGACGGGACUAACGCCGAUAUGCUUCGGGGAGCUGUAAGUAAGCUUUGAUCCGAAGAUUUCCGAAUGGGGAAACCCACUAUACGUAAUGGUAUGGUAUCCUUACCUGAAUACAUAGGGUAUGGAAGACAGACCCAGGGAACUGAAACAUCUAAGUACCUGGAGGAAGAGAAAGCAAAUGCGAUUUCCUGAGUAGCGGCGAGCGAAACGGAAUCU